RNAcentral lists this long non-coding RNA (335 nucleotides) under Setaria viridis. RNAcentral's name for it is "long non-coding RNA (SVIR_LNC010917)". The record is from RNAcentral. Lineage: Eukaryota; Viridiplantae; Streptophyta; Magnoliopsida; Poales; Poaceae.
AUAAAUAGUAAAAUUUAUGUAUAUAGAAAAGUUAAAACGACCUGCAGUUUUGGAAUCAAGGGAGCAGUGCUUAGUAGCCCUCAUGUACACAAAACCAAGAAGCAGCUAGUAAUCAACUUCAUUUAUGAUUCACCAUCAAGUGACUAGAUCACUCCAUGUGAACUGUAUCCAAUGGCUGCAUUUUUCCUCCAAUCUCUACACCCACCCACCGUGAUGCAUAUAACGUCCAAAUUCUAGUCUCCCAUCAGCACCUCACGGGUACCAGCACCACCGCCCCCUCCUCCGCGCGCCGUCUCUCUCCUCCAUCUACUAUGUAUGGUGGUGCACCAACGGAC